GACGAACGCUGGCGGCGUGCUUAACACAUGCAAGUCGAACGGAAAGGCCCUGCUUUUGUGGGGUGCUCGAGUGGCGAACGGGUGAGUAACACGUGAGUAACCUGCCCUUGACUUUGGGAAAACUUCAGGAAACUGGGGCUAAUACCGGAUAGGAGCUCCUGCUGCAUGGUGGGGGUUGGAAAGUUUCGGCGGUUGGGGAUGGACUCGCGGCUUAUCAGCUUGUUGGUGGGGUAGUGGCUUACCAAGGCUUUGACGGGUAGCCGGCCUGAGAGGGUGACCGGCCACAUUGGGACGGGGAUACGGCCCAGACUCCUACGGGAGGCAGCAGUGGGGAAAAUUGCACAAUGGGCGGAAGCCUGAUGCAGCAACGCCGCGUGCGGGAUGACGGCCUUCGGGUUGUAAACCGCUUUCGCCUGUGACGAAGCGUGAGUGACGGUAAUGGGUAAAGAGGCACCGGCUAACUACGUG
Molecule: ribosomal RNA, 468 nt
Filed under: uncultured bacterium
Lineage: Bacteria
Description: partial 16S ribosomal RNA
Rfam family: Bacterial small subunit ribosomal RNA
Source: RNAcentral